ACACUGACGUCGCGACGCAUAUCAAUAAGCGGAGGAAAAGAAACUAACAAGGAUUCCCUUAGUAACGGCGAGUGAAGCGGGAAGAGCUCAAAUUUGAAAUCUUCAAGGUUCUACCUUGACGAAUUGUAGUUUAUAGAAGUGUUUUCUGUUAGUGGAGUGGCAAAAGUUCUUUGGAAUAGGACAUCAUAGAGGGUGAGAAUCCCGUAUUUGGUCAUUCCUCCUAGCGUUGUGAUACACUUUCAACGAGUCGGAUUGUUUGGGAAUGCAGUCCAAAAUGGGUGGUAAACUUCAUCUAAAGCUAAAUAUUGGCGAGAGACCGAUAGCGAACAAGUACCGUGAGGGAAAGAUGAAAAGAACUUUGAAAAGAGAGUUAAACAGUACGUGAAAUUGUCAAAAGGGAAGCGUUUGACACCAGUGUUGUUUUUCCGAAAAUCAAUUACGAAUGUUUUAUUUUUGAGGAGUUAUGACUUCAUCGGCUUGCUCUCUUCUUUACUGAAACUUUCUUAAUGCACUUUUCGGUUAACAAGUCAACAUCAAUUUCUUUUGUUGUAAAAGGGUAUGAGGAAGGUGGCUUUCUUUUCGGAGAAAGUGUUUAUAGCCUUGUGCCUCUGCAAUCGGAGAGAUUGAGGUCUGCAGCGUAGAUCCUUCGGGGUUAGAUACGUUUGUGCUAAGUUAUAGCCUUUUCAUAGACAACUUGUUGACUAUGUUUAGUCUUGUAGCUUACUCGCUUACGCUAUUUUACCUACGCUUAGGAUGUUGACACACGCGCGUGCUCG
This 776-nucleotide ribosomal RNA is filed under the name uncultured Neocallimastigales. RNAcentral describes it as "partial large subunit ribosomal RNA". It matches the Rfam family "Eukaryotic large subunit ribosomal RNA", at positions 25 to 643 of the family's 3401-position model. Lineage: Eukaryota; Fungi; Neocallimastigomycota; Neocallimastigomycetes; Neocallimastigales. The record is from RNAcentral.